AUUGAACGCUGGCGGCAUGCUUUACACAUGCAAGUCGAACGGCAGCGCGGGCUUCGGCCUGGCGGCGAGUGGCGAACGGGUGAGUAAUGCAUCGGAACGUGCCCAGUAGUGGGGGAUAGCCCGGCGAAAGCCGGAUUAAUACCGCAUACGACCUGAGGGUGAAAGCGGGGGACCGAAAGGCCUCGCGCCAUUGGAGCGGCCGAUGUCGGAUUCGCUAGUUGGUGGGGUAAAGGCUUACCAAGGCGACGAACCGUAGCUGGUCUGAGAGGACGACCAGCCACACUGGGACUGAGACACGGCCCAGACUCCUGCGGGAGGCAGCAGUGGGGAAUUUUGGACAAGGGGGGCAACCCUGAUCCAGCCAUGCCGCGUGCGGGAAGAAGGCCUUCGGGUUGUAAACCGCUUUUGUUCGGGAAGAAAUACUCUGGGCUAAUACCCCGGGGGGAUGACGGUACCGGAAGAAUAAGCACCGGCUAACUACGUG
This 484-nucleotide ribosomal RNA is filed under the name uncultured bacterium. Its description in RNAcentral is "partial 16S ribosomal RNA". It matches the Rfam family "Bacterial small subunit ribosomal RNA", at positions 28 to 507 of the family's 1533-position model. The record is from RNAcentral.